UGCUGACAUCAUCUGCAUCAUUGAUCUGCAUAGUGUGUUGUAUAAAAGACCAAUUAUUGUUUUUAUCAAUAUAACAGCGAUGGCAUCUUGCAUACAAUAACAUAAGCGCUUCAUAUUGAAGCAUCCGCUUAAAGUGUGGCUUGAUAAACCCAAUAAUCGUACUUUUGAGUGAUUCCUAGUGUUUAAAUUGUAAACUGCGCCGUAAAUUAUUCUUUCAACAUAAUUGAUCCAGGCCAUCAAAAUAUUUAGAACACGAAGCCAGUGAAGCUGUUUUGAUGUGGCACAUCAAGCAGGCCCUAACACAUCUCUCAGACUGUUCGCUUCCUUCGCGUAGAAUUUUGAUAUUGACAUCCCGUUUUAAAAGUUAUUGUUUUUUUUUUUUCUAAAUUGGCAAGUGCAAGUGUAAAUACUUAUAUUAGUUUUACAUGGUGAUUUCGAGUUCAUUAAGUAGGUAUAAGAUUCGGUUGUCAUAAUAUUUUAAAAAGGUACUUUUUGAGUACCUAUAUUUUCUAAAGAGAACAGUAAAAUCAAUUGCAAUGUCAGAACAUGAGGUCGUGCCAUUGGAAGCGUUUAAACUCAUACCAAAAUUUGAUGGUGAUGUCCGACAUUUAAAUUUAUUUAUCCGUAAAUGUGAAUACGUGAUCGAAAAAUUUAAAUCGCCCGAAAUAUCCGAAGAGUAUUUAAUGCAAGUAGUAACGAGCCGCUUGAAAGGCGACGCCGCAGCGUUCAUAAGUGAACACGGUGAUGUAAAUGAUUGGGAAACAUUUAAAACAUUAAUAAAACAACAGUUUGAAGAUCCUCGUUCCGAAGCAUGUCUGGCUAUGGUGUUAGAAAAUCUGAAAAUUCAAAUCAAUGAGAAUUAUUCAAACUUCUAUAGACGAAUACAAUCACUAAAGUCAAUCUUACUAUCGAAAGUUGAUCAAACAUCCGAUGCGAAUAUGAAAAAAAGUAAACAUGAUUUUUAUGAUCACGUCGCUUUGCAUGUUUUCUUAUACAAUUUGCCAGAAGAUGUGAUAACAAUCAUCAGGAUGAAAGGUCCUACUACUUUAGCGGAGGCAUUAACAAUGGUUUUAGACGAAACGACUUUUAGUGAUCAGUAUAAAAUUCGGAGUCGAUGUGCACCGCCGGUGAGAUCAGGGUUAAACUUAAACUCUGGAAUCCAACAAGGACAAACAUAUAGGGCGGCAUUUGGGGCUCAAAAUUUCGGUACAUCUGUUACAUCUGGUAUAUCUGGUGCAUUAUUUGGCAGUACAUCGAGCACGAACAGUGGAUUCAAUACCACCUCAGUAAAGCCUGCGGUACCACAGUCAUAUACUUCUUUUGGUAUGAGUUAUCCUACAUCAUCUACUUCUGUACCACAAGCACAACAUUCCGUUACAAAAGACAAAUAAGAGAAAUUCACAACCGUCCGAAGUCGAAAAUCAAAAUUAAAAUAUUUAAUAUCCAAUAUAGUUGGUACUUAUACGUAUAAUCAGUAAUUUAGCCAACCUAAUUGUGUUUUAGAAGGUACAUUAUAUGUGCUGUAUACUUUGACGUAUUUAUCAUACCUAUCUACAUUGACCCAAAAGAUUUGCCUAUAAAAUGGGCAAAAACAAUAUUUCCUUAACUAAAAGAUAGCCUAAGCAUAGACCACAUGAAAGCCGAAUUCAACACCGGUUUUAACGCAAACUUUCCACGUUAUUCUAGUAUAACUAAAUGUGCUCAGAAUGUUUCAUUAAAAGGAUAAUAUAUUUACAAUUCAUGACAGAGAUCUCAUAUGCAUUGAAGAUAUUUAGAUAAAGUAACGGUAAAAUGUAUGUAAAAAAAUAAACAAAUAAUAUUUAUUUUGGAUGUCCUAUUUAUUCAUAAUGAUUAGGCACCAAUAGAUUUUAUCUAUGUUAAAAGCCAAAACAGUAGUAAUUAUUUCUAAAAAUUUUCCGGAUGGUGAAAGAAAGAAAGGUUUAACUCCUGACUAACCAAGCCAAGCAUUUACUGAUGAAGAGUUCCCCUCGGAGACUGUUAUCGACAUUUGCCCGAAGAAGAAGAAUAAGGUCUUCGCAGUGCUUAAAAAACAGCCCGUGCCAAAUAUUAGCUGAUGACCAGUUUUUUUGACAAGGGGAAUUUAUGUUCCUAGACUCAAUAUGAAAGCAUGUACUUAAUUUCAAUUGAAAAAUCUUUAAGGGAAACAUUCCAAAAGGGAUUCUGAAGAGUGUGUAUCAUGAACCAAAAUUACUCUCUGAAGAAUAUAGAAUGUCAGACCCGGAAUUCAGGAGCUGGUGAGACUAAAUUUUAUCGCGGUAUCUAUAAUUAAAUUUUCUCCCGACGUUUCAAAGACUUUACAGCCUUCCUGGUACGCCCCGUGACUACGAAGGCUGCAAACGAAAAUAAAAUCUGAAAAAUAGUUUAAUUUUAACAUUGUAAUUUUAGUUUAGACGUAAAUUACAUAACUUUAAGUUUGAUUUAGAACGUAACCGUUAGGUCAAAUCGAUUUAAUCGUUAAUUUCAAAUUGGGAGCUCGUAAUUGAUUUUAAGUCUAUGUAUAAGAGUUAAAUAAUAAUAAUACAUACAAAUUCCAAUAAAAAUAUUUCUGUAAUUUUAUUGUGUUAAAAAUGUUGACUUAAAGUCAUAUUUGUUACUUUUUUAUGUUUUAUAGAGUAAAGAAGGUAUUUACUUACAGCUACAGUGUCAAUGUACAAUAUAUUUUUAUAUCAAUAUAAAAAAUACAUAGAUAGAUAAUAAAUAAAUAUUGCAUUGUAACAUCCAAUAAAAAUCGAUGAUAAACUGUUGAUAUAAACUUUGGGAAUAUAAUAUGUGUAUCUUAGUGAUUAGAAAACGUACAAUAAACUUAUUCAACCAUUCAAUGUAUAAAAAAUAGUCAUUUACAUGUAAACACUUGCGAAAUUAUGAUAUAUUGACCCGCUACGACUACACCAACCCGAUGAAUAAAAAAAACGUUAGUUCGUACUCAGUUUUUUUUUUAUAAUUGACUAUAAUUCCGCAAUUGGUCGAAGAAACAAUUUUAUAAAAUUUGUAAAUUGAAAAGUUAAAAUACCAAUUGGCAAUAUUGUUUAUAUUUGUAAUAAUGAUUUUUUUGUAUUAAAAAUGAUAACGAA
Molecule: long non-coding RNA, 3092 nt
Organism: Manduca sexta (tobacco hornworm)
Lineage: Eukaryota; Metazoa; Arthropoda; Insecta; Lepidoptera; Sphingidae
Exons: 2
Source: RefSeq, a predicted model, not a curated record